GGGCGUAUUGUGGGCGUGGUUGUGAAUAAUUAGGGAAAGGGGGUGGGAUGUUUGCGAUAGUUGGGCCAUGAGAGGGAGGAUAUGGCCGGUAGUUAUUUUGGGGGAAUUGGGGAAAAUUAUUCUGUCGAGUGAUGGAAUGCACAUCACUCUCCUUCUUCUUGCCAAAAUUGGCAGUCUUUUUCACAGGGUUCUCAGUCAACUCCUGUAGCCUUCCUAUUCU
This 220-nucleotide unclassified non-coding RNA is filed under the name Hevea brasiliensis (rubber tree). Lineage: Eukaryota; Viridiplantae; Streptophyta; Magnoliopsida; Malpighiales; Euphorbiaceae. The record is from RNAcentral.